This is a small nuclear RNA of Suncus etruscus (white-toothed pygmy shrew), 102 nucleotides long. The record is from RefSeq and is a predicted model, not a curated record. Lineage: Eukaryota; Metazoa; Chordata; Mammalia; Eulipotyphla; Soricidae.
GUGCUCCUUCUGGCAGCACAUAUACUAAAAUUGGAACAUAGAAAGAUUAGCAUGGCCCUUGGCGAGGAUGACAUGCAAACUGGUGAAGUAUUCUUUAUUUAA